This 460-nucleotide ribosomal RNA is filed under the name uncultured bacterium. Its description in RNAcentral is "partial 16S ribosomal RNA". It matches the Rfam family "Bacterial small subunit ribosomal RNA", at positions 338 to 795 of the family's 1533-position model. The record is from RNAcentral.
CCUACGGGAGGCAGCAGUGAGGAAUAUUGGUCAAUGGACGCAAGUCUGAACCAGCCAUGCCGCGUGCAGGAUGACGGCUCUAUGAGUUGUAAACUGCUUUUGUACGAGGGUAAACCCCGAUACGUGUAUCUGUUUGAAAGUAUCGUACGAAUAAGGAUCGGCUAACUCCGUGCCAGCAGCCGCGGUAAUACGGAGGAUCCGAGCGUUAUCCGGAUUUAUUGGGUUUAAAGGGUGCGUAGGCGGUUUGAUAAGUGAGAGGUGAAAGGUCGGGGCUCAACCCCGAAACUGCCUCUAAUACUGUUGGACUAGAGAAUAGUUGCGGUAGGCGGAAUGUAUGGUGUAGCGGUGAAAUGCUUAGAGAUCAUACAGAACACCGAUUGCGAAGGCAGCUUACCAAACUAUAUCUGACGUUGAGGCACGAAAGCGUGGGUAGCAAACAGGAUUAGAUACCCUUGUAGUC